AACCUGACGCCAGUGGCAGUAUCAUAGCCAAUGAGGUUUAUCCGAGGCUCGAUUAUUGCUAAUUGAAAAUUCCUAAAAGAAU
Molecule: non-coding RNA, 82 nt
Organism: Mustela putorius furo (domestic ferret)
Lineage: Eukaryota; Metazoa; Chordata; Mammalia; Carnivora; Mustelidae
Source: Rfam